Molecule: ribosomal RNA, 1449 nt
Filed under: Pectobacterium carotovorum subsp. carotovorum
Lineage: Bacteria; Pseudomonadati; Pseudomonadota; Gammaproteobacteria; Enterobacterales; Pectobacteriaceae
Description: bacterial SSU rRNA
Rfam family: Bacterial small subunit ribosomal RNA
Source: RNAcentral
GGGGCAGGGGCGGCAGGCUACCAUGCAGUCGAGCGGUAGCACAGAAGAGCUUGCUCUCUGGGUGACGAGCGGCGGACGGGUGAGUAAUGUCUGGGAAACUGCCUGAUGGAGGGGGAUAACUACUGGAAACGGUAGCUAAUACCGCAUAACCUCGCAAGAGCAAAGAGGGGGACCUUCGGGCCUCUCGCCAUCAGAUGUGCCCAGAUGGGAUUAGCUAGUAGGUGAGGUAAUGGCUCACCUAGGCGACGAUCCCUAGCUGGUCUGAGAGGAUGACCAGCCACACUGGAACUGAGACACGGUCCAGACUCCUACGGGAGGCAGCAGUGGGGAAUAUUGCACAAUGGGCGCAAGCCUGAUGCAGCCAUGCCGCGUGUGUGAAGAAGGCCUUCGGGUUGUAAAGCACUUUCAGCGAGGAGGAAGGCGGUAAGGUUAAUAACCUUAUCGAUUGACGUUACUCGCAGAAGAAGCACCGGCUAACUCCGUGCCAGCAGCCGCGGUAAUACGGAGGGUGCAAGCGUUAAUCGGAAUGACUGGGCGUAAAGCGCACGCAGGCGGUCUGUUAAGUUGGAUGUGAAAUCCCCGGGCUUAACCUGGGAACUGCAUUCAAAACUGACAGGCUAGAGUCUUGUAGAGGGGGGUAGAAUUCCAGGUGUAGCGGUGAAAUGCGUAGAGAUCUGGAGGAAUACCGGUGGCGAAGGCGGCCCCCUGGACAAAGACUGACGCUCAGGUGCGAAAGCGUGGGGAGCAAACAGGAUUAGAUACCCUGGUAGUCCACGCUGUAAACGAUGUCGAUUUGGAGGUUGUGCCCUUGAGGCGUGGCUUCCGGAGCUAACGCGUUAAAUCGACCGCCUGGGGAGUACGGCCGCAAGGUUAAAACUCAAAUGAAUUGACGGGGGCCCGCACAAGCGGUGGAGCAUGUGGUUUAAUUCGAUGCAACGCGAAGAACCUUACCUACUCUUGACAUCCAGAGAAUUAGCUAGAGAUAGCUGAGUGCCUUCGGGAACUCUGAGACAGGUGCUGCAUGGCUGUCGUCAGCUCGUGUUGUGAAAUGUUGGGUUAAGUCCCGCAACGAGCGCAACCCUUAUCCUUUGUUGCCAGCGAUUCGGUCGGGAACUCAAAGGAGACUGCCGGUGAUAAACCGGAGGAAGGUGGGGAUGACGUCAAGUCAUCAUGGCCCUUACGAGUAGGGCUACACACGUGCUACAAUGGCGUAUACAAAGAGAAGCGACCUCGCGAGAGCAAGCGGACCUCAUAAAGUACGUCGUAGUCCGGAUUGGAGUCUGCAACUCGACUCCAUGAAGUCGGAAUCGCUAGUAAUCGUAGAUCAGAAUGCUACGGUGAAUACGUUCCCGGGCCUUGUACACACCGCCCGUCACACCAUGGGAGUGGGUUGCAAAAGAAGUAGGUAGCUUAACCUUCGGGAGGGCGCUACCACUUUGGGUUCCGGGG